UGAAGAGUUUGAUCAUGGCUCAGAUUGAACGCUGGCGGCAGGCCUAACACAUGCAAGUCGAACGGUAACAGGAAGCAGCUUGCUGCUUCGCUGACGAGUGGCGGACGGGUGAGUAAUGUCUGGGAAACUGCCUGAUGGAGGGGGAUAACUACUGGAAACGGUGGCUAAUACCGCAUAACGUCGCAAGACCAAAGAGGGGGACCUUCGGGCCUCUUGCCAUCAGAUGUGCCCAGAUGGGAUUAGCUAGUUGGUGAGGUAACGGCUCACCAAGGCGACGAUCCCUAGCUGGUCUGAGAGGAUGACCAGCCACACUGGAACUGAGACACGGUCCAGACUCCUACGGGAGGCAGCAGUGGGGA
This 359-nucleotide ribosomal RNA is filed under the name Salmonella enterica. RNAcentral's name for it is "bacterial SSU rRNA". It matches the Rfam family "Bacterial small subunit ribosomal RNA", at positions 1 to 360 of the family's 1533-position model. Lineage: Bacteria; Pseudomonadati; Pseudomonadota; Gammaproteobacteria; Enterobacterales; Enterobacteriaceae. The record is from RNAcentral.